Molecule: long non-coding RNA, 143 nt
Organism: Sinocyclocheilus anshuiensis
Lineage: Eukaryota; Metazoa; Chordata; Actinopteri; Cypriniformes; Cyprinidae
Exons: 3
Source: RefSeq, a predicted model, not a curated record
AAGGGUGUUGUUUUACAUUUCCAUUGAGAAAUUUUAACCAAAGUAUGUUAUAGAGUUUUCAUUAACAUGCUAAAGAAUCAUAUCACUUUGUGGAAAAUGGGCAUCCGAUGACCCCUUUAAACUAUAUUCUCGUGGUGUUUGUU